UAGACACCCCGCAAAAUGCAGCGUCUUUGUGUCCAGAUGAGGCCCGGCCUUUACCCACCCAGGACUGCUGUCUACAUACCUGGUCUACUGCGGAGUGGCCAGCUGCCUGCCCCAAGUCUUGGUCCCGGGGAGUUGGCUGCUCGACCUCCAAGACACAAAAGAUCCUCACGUGUUCCCACCCACAUCCUUGGCAUGAACCUUCAAGUUUCCUGCAAGUCUCCUGGCCGGAACGUCACAGAAGCCACAGCAUCACAGGCGCCAGCGCCCCCAUCAUCUUCAGCUCCCCUCCACCCGGCUAGCCAAAGAGCGCACUGGAGGCGGAGGGGCAGCAGACACCAGCCCGCGCCCCGCCUCCCUGACAGAGCCUCGGUCAGCAUGGGGGUGACAGGUUUCAGUGCAUUUCCCUGCUGUGGCAAGAAUUCAGUGAACAUUGUGGAAAGAAAGAAUGACGACUACCACCACCACCACCACCCCUUAGAAGACAAUAAGGAUGAAGACAAUGAGAUGGGAACAGAGUUAUCAAGCAUGAAGCCCCCACCCAAAGUGGACCCAGACCCAGUACCACAUCUGGAGGAUAUGGUGACAGAGUUAACCUCUACACCCAUACCUGAGACUGAAAACCCGGAGCAGCAGAACUACAGGAUCGAAUCCAUCAAGCCCUAUGAGGAGGAGCUGACAACCACAAACACCUUCAAGCCCCGGGGCUUCAAUGUGAACUCAACCAACAAAGAGGAGGAGGAGGUGGUGUGCGGCCACUUUCGCUCCACCCCUGUGCAGACCUCCAAGCACCUUUUCUGGUCCAACAAGCUCAUCCAAGCAUCAGAGCACAGCCUACAGACAGCCUUAGAAAAACAUCACAAGAGCCCCGGGGAAAAGAAGUCUAUCUCCAUAGCCCAGGUUUACACAGAAUGUACUCAGCGGCCGUCCAGCACCCAGGUGUCUCGCACCCCCACGCCCACAGCCCUUGGCUUGGCAGAUCUGAUCAACUUUGCUUCAUCCCUGGCUGUAGCCUCCUCCAGUAACAUGGCCUUGCCUAACCUGGGGACUAUGAUCAAAGGAACAUCUGAGAAGGCCCAGAAUACCUCCUUAGACUUCUGCCAGCCCAUCCAGUCCAUCAAAUUUACCCAGGCUACCCAGAUCACCCAGAUAUCCUCAGAGAAGCAAGAUGAACCCCCUGAAGUCAUGGCUCACAAAUCCUGGACACAGGAGACCAGGAAUGUUGCUUGCUCUUACCUGGAUAUUAACGAGUCAGGGCUCAAGAAAGCCACCAUCCAAGGGGAAGUGAAGUUUGUCCAAGCACCAGCUACAUCCCCUGAGCUUCAGGAAGACAAAGAUGAGUGAGUGUUGUUGCCUUUAGCCCUUCCACAGGGGGCCUCACCAGUGGGGGACGGGAUCAGCUCUCACACAGACAGCUCGGUGCCGGGAACCAAGAAAGGGACCCCAAUAUUGCUGAAAAUCCAUUUUAAGCUGUCAUCCCCCCAAGCCCCAGAGAAAUGACUAGACAAAAUCAUUAAAGCCCCCAAUGCUGGC
Molecule: RNA transcript, 1530 nt
Organism: Rattus norvegicus (Norway rat)
Lineage: Eukaryota; Metazoa; Chordata; Mammalia; Rodentia; Muridae
Gene: Spata32
Gene name: spermatogenesis associated 32
Source: RefSeq, marked provisional